Molecule: ribosomal RNA, 465 nt
Filed under: uncultured bacterium
Lineage: Bacteria
Description: partial 16S ribosomal RNA
Rfam family: Bacterial small subunit ribosomal RNA
Source: RNAcentral
GACGAACGCUGGCGGCGUGCUUAACACAUGCAAGUCGAACGGAAAGGCCCCUUUGGGGGUACUCGAGUGGCGAACGGGUGAGUAACACGUGCGUAACCUGCCCUUGACUUCGGGAUAACUUCAGGAAACUGGGGCUAAUACCGGAUAGGAAUCCUUGCUGCAUGGUGGGGGUUGGAAAGCUUCGGCGGUUUUGGAUGGACUCGCGGCUUAUCAGCUUGUUGGUGGGGUAGUGGCUUACCAAGGCUUUGACGGGUAGCCGGCCUGAGAGGGCGACCGGGCACAUUGGGACUGAGAUACGGCCCAGACUCCUACGGGAGGCAGCAGUGGGGAAUAUUGCACAAUGGGCGGAAGCCUGAUGCAGCAACGCCGCGUGCGGGAUGACGGCCUUCGGGUUGUAAACCGCUUUCAGCAGGGGCGAAGCUUGUGGUGACGGUACCUGCAGAAGAAGCACCGGCUAACUACGUG